Molecule: ribosomal RNA, 1454 nt
Filed under: Clostridiaceae bacterium NML 060002
Lineage: Bacteria; Bacillati; Bacillota; Clostridia; Eubacteriales; Clostridiaceae
Description: bacterial SSU rRNA
Rfam family: Bacterial small subunit ribosomal RNA
Source: RNAcentral
CGCGCCUAACACAUGCAAGUCGAACGAAGCACAUCGACAGAAGUACUUGUACGGAAGAUGAUGUGACUUAGUGGCGGACGGGUGAGUAACACGUGAGCAACCUGCCUUUGUGAGGGGGAUAAUACUGGGAAACCGGUACUAAUACCGCAUAACAUAUGGAGAUGACAUCAUCACCAUAUCAAAGAUUUAUCGCACAAAGAUGGGCUCGCGCCUGAUUAGAUAGUUGGUGAGGUAACGGCCCACCAAGUCGACGAUCAGUAGCCGGACUGAGAGGUUGAUCGGCCACAUUGGGACUGAGACACGGCCCAGACUCCUACGGGAGGCAGCAGUGGGGGAUAUUGCACAAUGGAGGAAACUCUGAUGCAGCGACGCCGCGUGAGGGAAGACGGUUUUCGGAUUGUAAACCUCUGUCUUCAGGGAAGAAACAAAUGACGGUACCUGAAGAGGAAGCCACGGCUAACUACGUGCCAGCAGCCGCGGUAAUACGUAGGUGGCAAGCGUUGUCCGGAAUUACUGGGUGUAAAGGGAGCGUAGGCGGGUAGGUAAGUUGAAUGUUUAAUCUAUGGGCUCAACCCAUAGCUGCGUUCAAAACUGUUUAUCUUGAGUGGGGUAGAGGCAGAUGGAAUUCCUAGUGUAGCGGUGAAAUGCGUAGAUAUUAGGAGGAACACCAGUGGCGAAGGCGAUCUGCUGGGCCCUAACUGACGCUGAGGCUCGAAAGCGUGGGUAGCAAACAGGAUUAGAUACCCUGGUAGUCCACGCCGUAAACGAUGAUUACUAGGUGUGGGGGGACUGACCCCUUCCGUGCCGGAGUUAACACAAUAAGUAAUCCACCUGGGGAGUACGACCGCAAGGUUGAAACUCAAAGAAAUUGACGGGGGCCCGCACAAGCAGUGGAGUAUGUGGUUUAAUUCGAAGCAACGCGAAGAACCUUACCAGGUCUUGACAUCGAGUGAAGAACAUAGAGAUAUGUUCGUCCUUCGGGACACAAAGACAGGUGGUGCAUGGUUGUCGUCAGCUCGUGUCGUGAGAUGUUGGGUUAAGUCCCGCAACGAGCGCAACCCUUACCAUUAGUUGCUACAUUCAGUUGAGCACUCUAAUGGGACUGCCGUUGACAAAACGGAGGAAGGUGGGGACGACGUCAAAUCAUCAUGCCCCUUAUGACCUGGGCUACACACGUACUACAAUGGCAAUAAACAAUGGGCAGCAACACAGCGAUGUGAAGCGAAUCUCCAAACAUUGCCUCAGUUCGGAUUGUAGGCUGCAACUCGCCUACAUGAAGUCGGAAUUGCUAGUAAUCGUGGAUCAGAAUGCCACGGUGAAUACGUUCCCGGGCCUUGUACACACCGCCCGUCACACCAUGAGAGUCGGUAACACCCGAAGCCAGUAGCCUAACCGUAAGGAGGGCGCUGUCGAAGGUGGGAUUGAUGAUUGGGGUGAAGUCGUAACAAGGUAGC